RNAcentral lists this unclassified non-coding RNA (304 nucleotides) under Hevea brasiliensis (rubber tree). Lineage: Eukaryota; Viridiplantae; Streptophyta; Magnoliopsida; Malpighiales; Euphorbiaceae. The record is from RNAcentral.
GAAGUAACUAGGCAGACGUUGUAUUAAAAUGAGGCAAAAAUAAACAGUUUAACAAUAAACAUAACAUGCUAUUUACCCAGCAUUGCUUGCCAAUGGAAGCAUGUCACCUAUUUCACUCAUCUCGGGUAAGUGUAAGCCUGAUGUCAUGUCCCUUGGAGGAGAUAAAUCCAGUGACAGAUAACUGGCAUCAAAAGAUGACAAUAAAGCUGAAAGGCUAGGGUCCAUAAGAUCAGGACUGCUGGAUUCUGGCAUCAUAGCAGAUAUGUUUGCACCUGUAAGAUCAGAAGCAUAUGAUUGAUUUGAA